This 335-nucleotide long non-coding RNA is filed under the name Helianthus annuus (common sunflower). RNAcentral's name for it is "hypothetical non coding rna". The record is from RNAcentral. Lineage: Eukaryota; Viridiplantae; Streptophyta; Magnoliopsida; Asterales; Asteraceae.
GGCAGGCCAGUUUUUCGUGGUUGUGAUGAUUUCAGCAGUGGUGGCAUGACUGUGUAGCAGUUGUGUCGGUUCGAUGGUUGUACUGUAGUGGCGGUGGUUCUUUUGUGGGUCUGUCUGUUACUACCAUCUCCGAUUGCCAUAAGAACCAUAUAUUGUGUGUAGAAGUUGAGAAAUGAUUAAUCUCAAGUGGAUGAAUGUCUGGAAAAUGAAAUCCUUGGGAAGUGGAAGAGUACUUUACGAAUACGUCUACUGAAUUUUCAUAUGUUUUUCUUUUAAUUUUACGUUUACUAUAUAGUUGUAAUGUAAUUUUAUAUUUACAUUUACUGUUAAAGAUU